Molecule: long non-coding RNA, 3269 nt
Organism: Halichondria panicea
Lineage: Eukaryota; Metazoa; Porifera; Demospongiae; Suberitida; Halichondriidae
Exons: 2
Source: RefSeq, a predicted model, not a curated record
UUAGGCAACAGUAACUAGGAAUUUCUUUAGCUAUAGGCUAGGCUGAGCUAUCAUACAGUACACUCACUGUAAUAGCAAUGGCUAGUCGUGAGCAAGGAACUAUAGAGCAAGCUUCCCUUCAUGAAACUCCUGCACCAGAUGCCAGCAGAGAUGCCACUGAAGCCACACCACUCGUGACAAGUAAUCACGGGAAAUAAUUAUGGCAAGAAUAAAAGUGUGCUGAUCAAGUCAAAGGCUGCAAUAAUGAUUCUUAUUUGGACUGCCUAUGUCUUUCAUAUAUGGUGGUUUUCUGAACCCUGAAAAUUAUUUCUUAUUCACUUACCUAUUUAUGGGCCUGGAAGACCCUACAUCCUUAUCAGGAUUUAACAGUGAGAUGGUGGAUAGUUGCGUAUAUGCUAUAUUUGCAUUCUGGCUCCUCUUCUAUCCUCUAGCCGGAUACUUGGCAGAUGUUCGAUAUGGAAGAUAUAAGGUUGUGAAAUGUGGUGUGUGUACCAUGUGGUGUGGACUCUUGACAGUGGUUAUUCUCGGUGUCGUUGUCAACGCCAUUAUUGUGCCAAUUUUUAUUUUGGCAAGUUAUCCUCAUUACUGGUAUCUAUUAUUAAUAGUCGUGAAUUGUGCACUUGCACUUUUUCUUCUUAUCUCUUUGUUGAUUGCGUUUGCUGCAUUUUUAGCCAAUGUUGUGCAGUUUGGGGUUGACCAGUUAAAUGAUUCUCCUUCUAGAGACAGCUUUCUUUUCACUCAUUGGUUUCUCUUCACACUCUAUAUUGGAAUAAGCUUAGGAAAAUUGGUAUGGAGUUCAGCUUCUGCCUUUGGUUUUUUAAGCCUUUCUAUAUUGAACUUAUCAUGUUAGUUGAGCUGAUUUGUGUACCAGCAACUUUCUGUGUUGCUAAGCGCAGGUGGUUUGUUAUUGACACUGGCAUUGGUAAUCCUUACAAAGAGAUUGCAAGAGUUGUCGGCUUUGCAAGAAGAAACAAGAUUCCUAUUCAACGCAGUGCCUUUACAUUCUGGGAAGAUGACAUACCCACUGGACUGAAUCUAGGCAAGGACAAGUAUGAAGGACCAUUUACUACCGAGCAGGUGGAGAAUGUGAAGUCAUUUUUUGGAAUAUAUUUUCAGUAGGACCAUUUUUUACAGCUGAUAUUGCUGCAGCACCUUUUCUCAGUAUACUUAAAUAUCACAUGAAGCUGAAGACUUCUGUUUGGUCACCUGAUUAUAGUGAUAUAAGCACCCUAAUAGUGGCACACUGUACCCCGUCUUUCUUGUUUGUUCCUAUUUUUCUCAAUUCAUCCUCUGUUUCAAAAGUACUUCCCUGGUAUUCUGAGGCGAAUUGGAAUUGGUCUUUGUCUUAUCACUGUUAGUCUGUUUUGCUCGCUGUUUGUUGAGAUGUUUGGUUACCUCCAUAGCAUAUAUAUAUAAUGCUACUAUUUCAAUGUUUACUAGGUAAGUAAGUAAGUAAGUAAGUUUCUUGCCCAGCAUUUGCUCCAAGUACAGCCAUCUCCAGGACAUUCUUAAUAUAGCGUUUCCAAACGAACACAACCUAUUAAAAAGCAGUUCUUCAGAUUUCCACGAGGCAGAUGACCUCUCAGGCUCUACUUCUCUUACCUAGAAAACUUUGCCAUCUUUAAUGACUCAGCAAUAAUAGCUAGGCGUGCAUGGCUGAGAAACUGUGAGUGAGCUCAGCUCUUUUGAUCCCAUUUCUCAGGUAUAUAUAUAUAUGCACUGACUAGAUAUCAUAGGCAAAUAGGCCUCCAUGCUCUUGAAAUACAGUAGAUUUACUAAAUGACAGCCAUUUUAAUUACUGCUUGACGCACAAAUUCAUUAUACAGCAAUAAUAUUCCUGUCUUCUCUUCUGGAACUUCUGUACUGCUUCCUGAGUGACGUUCCACUUAUGCAUGUCAUGGUACGUAAAUGUGUUUCUGUACUGAAAAAGAAAGGGAAUCUGACUAUAUAGAAAACAUUUGCAAUGUGAAAAAUUGCUAGGAUUGGCCAGGAGAAACACCAAAAGCGUGGGAACAAGUCUAGUGUAUGUAUGUUUGUGCGAUGUUUGUAUGUAUGUGUCGUACGUAUGUGUCGUACGUCGCUCGAUUGAUUCAAACAAAACUUACGAUUUACCUCCUUCAAGGAAGUUAAUGGAUCUACAUACAUCAGUCUAUGCGAGUGAAGCUUCGCUCGCCUUCAAUAAAAGUGAUGGUGUUUUUCUGCGUGCAUGUUUGUCGUGUUGUGGGCUCCUCUAUAAUAAUAAUUACACAAUUAAAUUGAUCUACUGAUUAGAUAAACAAAAGCUAUAUUGUUUGUUUUGGGAGACUGGGCAUUUCUUUAGGUAGCUAUGUACUUAUUGUAAAUCAAUGGCUAGUUGUGAGCAAAGAACUAUAGAGCAAGCUUCCCUUCAUGAAACUCCUGCACUCGAUGCCAGCAGAGAUGCCACUGAAGCUACACCACUCGUGACAAGUAAUCGCAGGAAAUAUGGCAACAAGGAAAGUGUGCUAAUCAAGUCAAAGGCUCCAAUAAUGAUUCUGUGUUGGACAGUGUUAACCCUUUCCCCGUUGAAGCCGUCAUAUGACGGCCACUCUAGUGGUCAUUUUCAAAAAUUCGUUGUGCCCACUGUGUUGGAGCUAUGCACACACUGUAGGUACCAGCACAUGCGCAUUGAGCUGCUCUUUCACGUGGUAUCUUUAAUAUGCUGCCUCGAGGUACCCUUUGUACAGUAAUGUCGAAAGAAAAGUGACCGUUUGAUAAUGUUUCAAGAUCUUUGUAGUACAAUCUCAGUGAGGUUCUAAAGUAGCUAGACAGUGAGAAUAUCGAUGCUUAUGGCCUUGUUGAGUGAGAGGACUGUGACUGGGAUCGUAGCUAGAUAAAAAGCUACCUCAAGCUAGAAAAUAUAGAGCCUGAAGGCCUGAGGAAGAAGCUCUUGCGAUGGAACAACUUCUUGGAUCUGGUGAAGAAAACAUUUCCCGGGAAAAGGGCGUCUGCUGAUACGACCUCGCAGAAAACUUUCUGCAGAUCCUGAUUGAACCAUGUCACCGUGAGAACAUUGAGAACACUUAUUUAGUGUCUUUAGCCACUCUGUGCCUUCAUACAAUAUUAUUUGUGUACAUAGUUGUGAAUGUUUGUAAACAAUUGCUAAUUAGUGGGGGUGGUCAGUUGCUAGGUAACGAAGAUGUUGUCAAGAUAUCUCUGAGGUCUGCGCUACCUGUAGGAAAUAGUUACAAGUCAUUUCAAUGUAUGGUUCAUGACAUACAAAUUUUUAAAGAAAAUUGUUAUUUAUUCUG